ACAGUGAUGUACUGCGAGCGCCCCUCAUUCGUAAUGAGGGGGUCGGGGGUUCGAAGCCCUCUUGCGGCACCA
This 72-nucleotide transfer RNA is filed under the name Methylobacterium indicum. Its description in RNAcentral is "tRNA-Thr". Lineage: Bacteria; Pseudomonadati; Pseudomonadota; Alphaproteobacteria; Hyphomicrobiales; Methylobacteriaceae. The record is from RNAcentral.